This 339-nucleotide unclassified non-coding RNA is filed under the name soil metagenome. Its description in RNAcentral is "partial contains 5.8S ribosomal RNA, internal transcribed spacer 2, and large subunit ribosomal RNA". The stretch from base 1 to 120 matches the Rfam family "5.8S ribosomal RNA", at positions 35 to 154 of the family's 154-position model. The record is from RNAcentral.
GAUGAAGAACGUAGCGAAAUGCGAUACGUAUUGUGAAUUGCAGAAUUCAGUGAAUCAUCGAAUCUUUGAACGCACAUUGCACCUCUCGGUAUUCCGGGAGGUAUGCCUGUUCGAGCGUCAUUUGUACCCUCAAGCUCUGCUUGGUGUUGGGUGUUUGUUCCGCCUCUGUGUGUGAACUCGCCUCAAAACAAUUGGCAGCCGGCGUACUUGUUUCGGAGCGCAGCACAUUUUGCGAUCCAGAUCAACGUACAGCGGCAUCCAAGAAGCCUUAUUUAACGCUCUUGACCUCGGAUCAGGUAGGGAUACCCGCUGAACUUAAGCAUAUCAAUAAGCGGAGGA